Molecule: non-coding RNA, 78 nt
Organism: Trichonephila inaurata madagascariensis
Lineage: Eukaryota; Metazoa; Arthropoda; Arachnida; Araneae; Nephilidae
Source: the annotation of a GenBank genome assembly
GGCGCCGUGGCUCAGUUGGCUGGAAGCGCCUGGUUCAGUAAACAGGAGAUCACGAGUUCGAAUCUCGCGUCGGUGCCU